Molecule: ribosomal RNA, 253 nt
Filed under: uncultured bacterium
Lineage: Bacteria
Description: partial 16S ribosomal RNA
Rfam family: Bacterial small subunit ribosomal RNA
Source: RNAcentral
CACGUAGGGCGCAAGCGUUGUCCGGAAUCAUUGGGCGUAAAGAGCGUGUAGGCGGCCCGGUAAGUCCGCUGUAAAAGUCAAAGGCUCAACCUUUGAAUGUCAGUGGAUACUGCCGGGCUAGAGUCCGGAAGAGGCGAGUGGAACUCCUGGUGUAGCGGUGGAAUGCGCAGAUAUCGGGAGGAACACCAAUGGCGAAGGCAGCUCGCUGGGACGUGACUGACGCUGAGACGCGAAAGCGUGGGGAGCAAACAGG